This 468-nucleotide long non-coding RNA is filed under the name Capsella rubella. RNAcentral describes it as "long non-coding RNA (CRUB_LNC002547)". Lineage: Eukaryota; Viridiplantae; Streptophyta; Magnoliopsida; Brassicales; Brassicaceae. The record is from RNAcentral.
GACGAUGGAGUUUAAUGGAGGAGGAGCUCGUCGAUUAAGCUAUGGAGGAUUGGGAUGUCCGAUGGUGGAGGAUUGUGGUUGAAGGAGAAAGAAGAUGAAGAUUUUUGAGUGGGGUCCAUGUCUAUUUUUCUUUUCUUUUUUUUUUGUUUAAAUUAAAUCAAAUAAUAAGAGGGGCAAAAUAUGUCCUUAUUUAAGUUAAUAUAUGGUCCAAGGGUAGUUAGAACAUAGAAGGGUAUGAGAGUAUAUAGACAGAUUAUUCGGAUAUCCGUUCGGAUUCGGGUUCGGAUGUUCGGAUCUUCGGAUGUUCGGAUAUAGACAUAUAGAAUCCGAUCGGAUAUUGUAUAAUUUCGGGUCGGAUUCGGAUCGGAUGCUUUCAAGUUCGGUUAAUUUCGGAUAUAUCCGAAAUAUGAUUGUGGCGCCGAAUAUCCAAAGAUUUUGAUGAUUUUUAUCCAAAAUUGAAAAAAAAAA